RNAcentral lists this ribosomal RNA (713 nucleotides) under Salmonella enterica. RNAcentral's name for it is "partial 23S ribosomal RNA". It matches the Rfam family "Bacterial large subunit ribosomal RNA", at positions 1 to 652 of the family's 2925-position model. Lineage: Bacteria; Pseudomonadati; Pseudomonadota; Gammaproteobacteria; Enterobacterales; Enterobacteriaceae. The record is from RNAcentral.
GGUUAAGCGACUAAGCGUACACGGUGGAUGCCCUGGCAGUCAGAGGCGAUGAAGGGCGUGCUAAUCUGCGAUAAGCGCCGGUAAGGUGAUAUGAACCGUUAUAACCGGCGAUACCCGAAUGGGGAAACCCAGUGUGAUUCGUCACACUAUCAUUAACUGAAUCCAUAGGUUAAUGAGGCGAACCGGGGGAACUGAAACAUCUAAGUACCCCGAGGAAAAGAAAUCAACCGAGAUUCCCCCAGUAGCGGCGAGCGAACGGGGAGGAGCCCAGAGCCUGAAUCAGCAUGUGUGUUAGUGGAAGCGUCUGGAAAGGCGCGCGAUACAGGGUGACAGCCCCGUACACAAAAGCGCAUGUGCUGUGAGCUCGAUGAGUAGGGCGGGACACGUGGUAUCCUGUCUGAAUAUGGGGGGACCAUCCUCCAAGGCUAAAUACUCCUGACUGACCGAUAGUGAACCAGUACCGUGAGGGAAAGGCGAAAAGAACCCCGGCGAGGGGAGUGAAAAAGAACCUGAAACCGUGUACGUACAAGCAGUGGGAGCCCCACCACUAAGCCAGUGGUGAACUUCACAUACGCAUCCUUUGCUGAGGAUACGGUUAACGGAGCGAAAGCGACGUUCAACCUCAAAAGAAGCAGAGGGGGCUUAGUGGUGGGGUGACUGCGUACCUUUUGUAUAAUGGGUCAGCGACUUAUAUUCUGUAGCAAGGUUAACCG